Non-coding RNA from Mycena rebaudengoi, 90 nucleotides. The record is from the annotation of a GenBank genome assembly. NCBI's taxonomy places the organism in Eukaryota, Fungi, Basidiomycota, Agaricomycetes, Agaricales, Mycenaceae.
GAUCCGGUGGUGGAAUGGUUAACAUGCCCAUUUGUGUUACGCGAGCUCGAUAUUUGGUAGGAGAUCCCUGUUCGAGUCAGGGCUGGGUCA